CAAGUCGAACGCGAGGACCCCCGCAAGGGGGUUAGUAGAGUGGCAAACGGGUGAGUAACACGUGGGUGACCUACCUUCGAGUGGGGGAUAACGUUCCGAAAGGAGCGCUAAUACCGCAUGACAUCCUGCUUUUGGAAAAGCGGACAUUAAAGCCGGGGAUCGCAACACCUGGCGCUUGAAGAGGGGCCCGCGUCUGAUUAGCUAGUUGGUGGGGUAACGGCUCACCAAGGCGACGAUCAGUAGCCGGCCUGAGAGGGCGGACGGCCACACUGGGACUGAGACACGGCCCAGACUCCUACGGGAGGCAGCAGUGGGGAAUUGUUCGCAAUGGGCGCAAGCCUGACGACGCAACGCCGCGUGGAGGACGAAGAUCUUCGGGUCGUAAACUCCUUUCGAUCGGGAAGAACGGCUUCGGGGCUAACAUCCCUGGAGAGUGACGGUACCGAGAGAAGAAGCCCCGGCUAACUCCGUGCCAGCAGCCGCGGUAAUACGGGGGGGGCAAGCGUUGUUCGGAAUUACUGGGCGUAAAGGGCUCGUAGGCGGCCAACUAAGUCGGAUGUGAAAUCCCCAGGCUUAACCUGGGAACUGCAUCCGAUACUGGAUGGCUUGAAUCCGGGAGAGGGAUGCGGAAUUCCAGGUGUAGCGGUGAAAUGCGUAGAUAUCUGGAGGAACACCGGUGGCGAAGGCGGCAUCCUGGACCGGCAUUGACGC
This 711-nucleotide ribosomal RNA is filed under the name uncultured Acidobacteriota bacterium. Its description in RNAcentral is "bacterial SSU rRNA". It matches the Rfam family "Bacterial small subunit ribosomal RNA", at positions 58 to 746 of the family's 1533-position model. Lineage: Bacteria; Pseudomonadati; Acidobacteriota. The record is from RNAcentral.